RNAcentral lists this ribosomal RNA (508 nucleotides) under Canthyporus hottentotus. RNAcentral describes it as "partial 16S ribosomal RNA". The stretch from base 385 to 508 matches the Rfam family "Bacterial large subunit ribosomal RNA", at positions 2473 to 2597 of the family's 2925-position model. Lineage: Eukaryota; Metazoa; Arthropoda; Insecta; Coleoptera; Dytiscidae. The record is from RNAcentral.
GUCCUUUAGAUGUAGAAUUUAAGGUCUGAUCUGCCCACUGAAAUAAUUAAAUGGCCGCAGUAAUUUGACUGUGCAAAGGUAGCAUAAUCAUUAGUUUUUUAAUUAAAAGCUUGUAUGAAGGGUUGGACGAAAUAGAAUCUGUCUUUAAUUAAUAAAUAGAAUUUAAUUUUUAAGUUAAAAAGCUUAAAUAUUAAUAAAAGACGAGAAGACCCUAUAGAUCUUUAUUAUAAUUUAAAUUAAUUUUAUUUAAGAUUAAUUAAUUAAUUAUUUUAUUUAUAAUUUUAUUGGGGUAAUAAAAAGAUUAUAGGAAUUCUUUUAUUAAUUUACAAAGAUUAUUGAUUUUUUGAUCCAUUUAUAGUGAUUAUAAGAUUAAGUUACCUUAGGGAUAACAGCGUAAUUUUUUUAGAGAGUUCUUAUCGAUAAAAAAGUUUGCGACCUCGAUGUUGGAUUAAAAUUUAUUUUAGGUGUAGAAGUCUAAAGUUUUGGUCUGUUCGACCAUUAAAAUUUU